Molecule: long non-coding RNA, 270 nt
Organism: Oncorhynchus tshawytscha (Chinook salmon)
Lineage: Eukaryota; Metazoa; Chordata; Actinopteri; Salmoniformes; Salmonidae
Source: Ensembl
GAGAGAGAGGAGCCAGAGAGAGAGAGAGAGAGAGAGAGAGAGAGAGAGAGAGAGAGAGAGAGAGAGAGACAGAGAGAGAGAGAGAGAGAGAGAGGAGACAGAGAGAGAGGAGACAGAGAGAGGCCAGAGAGAGAGUAGGAGAGAGAGAGAGAGAGGCGCCAGAGAGAGAGAGAAGCCAGAGAGACAGAGAGAGAGGGAGCCAGAGAGAGAGGAGAGACAGAGAGAGAGAGGCACCAGAGAGAGAGGGGCCAGAGAGAGAGAGAGAGAGAG